GACGAACGCUGGCGGCGUGCUUAACACAUGCAAGUCGAACGGAAAGGCCCUGCUUUUGUGGGGUGCUCGAGUGGCGAACGGGUGAGUAACACGUAGGUAACCUGCCCUUGACUUUGGGAUAACUUCAGGAAACUGGGGCUAAUACCGGAUAGGAGCUCCUGCUGCAUGGUGGGGGUGGGAUAGAUUCGGCGGUUGGGGAUGGACUAGCGGCUUAUCGGCUUGUUGGUGGGGUAGUGGCUGAGCAAGGCCUUGCAGGGUGGCCGGCCUGGGCGGGUGACCGGCCCCGUUACGCCUGGGCUACGACCCAGACCCCUCCGGUAGGCAGCGGUGGGGAAUAUUGUACAGUGGGCGGAAGCCUGACCCAACAACGCCGCGUCGGGGAUGACGGCCUUCGGGUUGUGAUCCGCUUCCGCCUGUCCCGAAGCGUGAGUGACGGUACUGGGUGAAUAAGCACCGGCUAACUACGUG
RNAcentral lists this ribosomal RNA (468 nucleotides) under uncultured bacterium. RNAcentral's name for it is "partial 16S ribosomal RNA". It matches the Rfam family "Bacterial small subunit ribosomal RNA", at positions 28 to 507 of the family's 1533-position model. The record is from RNAcentral.